RNAcentral lists this ribosomal RNA (1476 nucleotides) under uncultured Actinomycetes bacterium. RNAcentral describes it as "uncultured actinobacterium 16S ribosomal RNA". It matches the Rfam family "Bacterial small subunit ribosomal RNA". Lineage: Bacteria; Bacillati; Actinomycetota; Actinomycetes. The record is from RNAcentral.
AGGGUUUGAUCCUGGCUCAGGACGAACGCUGGCGGCGUGCUUAACACAUGCAAGUCGAACGAUGAAGCCUAGCUUGCUAGGUGGAUUAGUGGCGAACGGGUGAGUAAUACGUGAGUAACCUACCUUUAACUCUGGGAUAAGCCUGGGAAACUGGGUCUAAUACCGGAUACGACCAAUCUCCGCAUGGGGUGUUGGUGGAAAGCGUUAUGUAGUGGUUAUAGAUGGGCUCACGGCCUAUCAGCUUGUUGGUGAGGUAACGGCUCACCAAGGCGACGACGGGUAGCCGGCCUGAGAGGGUGACCGGCCACACUGGGACUGAGACACGGCCCAGACUCCUACGGGAGGCAGCAGUGGGGAAUAUUGCACAAUGGGCGCAAGCCUGAUGCAGCGACGCCGCGUGAGGGAUGACGGCCUUCGGGUUGUAAACCUCUGUUAGCAGGGAAGAAGAGAGAUUGACGGUACCUGCAGAGAAAGCGCCGGCUAACUACGUGCCAGCAGCCGCGGUAAUACGUAGGGCGCGAGCGUUGUCCGGAAUUAUUGGGCGUAAAGAGCUUGUAGGCGGUUUGUCGCGUCUGCUGUGAAAGGCCGGGGCUUAACCCCGUGUAUUGCAGUGGGUACGGGCAGACUAGAGUGCAGUAGGGGAGACUGGAAUUCCUGGUGUAGCGGUGGAAUGCGCAGAUAUCAGGAGGAACACCGAUGGCGAAGGCAGGUCUCUGGGCUGUAACUGACGCUGAGAAGCGAAAGCAUGGGGAGCGAACAGGAUUAGAUACCCUGGUAGUCCAUGCCGUAAACGUUGGGCACUAGGUGUGGGGGACAUUCCACGUUUUCCGCGCCGUAGCUAACGCAUUAAGUGCCCCGCCUGGGGAGUACGGCCGCAAGGCUAAAACUCAAAGAAAUUGACGGGGGCCCGCACAAGCGGCGGAGCAUGCGGAUUAAUUCGAUGCAACGCGAAGAACCUUACCCAAGGCUUGACAUAUACUGGACCGCAUCAGAGAUGCUGUUUCCCUUCGGGGCUGGUAUACAAGGUGGUGCAUGGUUGUCGUCAGCUCGUGUCGUGAGAUGUUGGGUUAAGUCCCGCAACGAGCGCAACCCUCGUUCUAUGUUGCCAGCACGUUAUGGUGGGGACUCAUAGGAGACUGCCGGGGUCAACUCGGAGGAAGGUGGGGAUGACGUCAAAUCAUCAUGCCCCUUAUGUCUUGGGCUUCACGCAUGCUACAAUGGCCGGUACAGAGGGUUGCGAUACUGUGAGGUGGAGCUAAUCCCUAAAAGCCGGUCUCAGUUCGGAUUGGGGUCUGCAACUCGACCCCAUGAAGUCGGAGUCGCUAGUAAUCGCAGAUCAGCAACGCUGCGGUGAAUACGUUCCCGGGCCUUGUACACACCGCCCGUCAAGUCACGAAAGUUGGUAACACCCAAAGCCGGUGGCCUAACCUUUUGGAGGGAGCCGUCUAAGGUGGGAUUGGCGAUUGGGACUAAGUC